RNAcentral lists this ribosomal RNA (497 nucleotides) under uncultured bacterium. RNAcentral describes it as "partial 16S ribosomal RNA". It matches the Rfam family "Bacterial small subunit ribosomal RNA", at positions 899 to 1397 of the family's 1533-position model. The record is from RNAcentral.
ACUCAAAGGAAUAGACGGGGGCCCGCACAAGCGGCGGAGCAUGCGGAUUAAUUCGAUGCAACGCGAAGAACCUUACCUGGGUUUGACAUGUACACCAAAGCCUCAGAGAUGGGGCCCCCUUCGGGGGUGUUCACAGGUGGUGCAUGGCUGUCGUCAGCUCGUGUCGUGAGAUGUUGGGUUAAGUCCCGCAACGAGCGCAACCCUCGUUCCAUGUUGCCAGCGGGUCAUGCCGGGGACUCAUGGGAGACUGCCGGGGUCAACUCGGAGGAAGGUGGGGAUGACGUCAAGUCAUCAUGCCCCUUAUGUCCAGGGCUUCACGCAUGCUACAAUGGCCGGUACAAUGGGCUGCGAUACCGUAAGGUGGAGCGAAUCCCAAAAAGCCGGUCUCAGUUCGGAUCGGGGUCUGCAACUCGACCCCGUGAAGUCGGAGUCGCUAGUAAUCGCAGAUCAGCAACGCUGCGGUGAAUACGUUCCCGGGCCUUGCACACACCGCCCGU